Molecule: long non-coding RNA, 522 nt
Organism: Oncorhynchus gorbuscha (pink salmon)
Lineage: Eukaryota; Metazoa; Chordata; Actinopteri; Salmoniformes; Salmonidae
Exons: 3
Source: RefSeq, a predicted model, not a curated record
GCUAACCUUAGGCAACAAUAGUAUGUAAUGCCACGAGUGGCAAACAGCUUGCCAGAAGUAGUUCCAAGACCAGUAAGCAUUGAUGACCAGUCAGUGGGAGAAGAAAAAUCUAUUGAAGUGAUCUACCUUCCAAGUUGUACAAUGGAUACCCUUCCCCUACCCGUCUUGUUGGAAGAGGCUGCAUUGGGAAGAGGAUGCAUCAACACCCUGGAAAGAUGUUUGUGGUGCAUUCACUCAUCAUUUUGUUGCGAUAAAUGAGUGUAAUGUAAUCUUCUUCAAGCCUGAUAAGUACAUGCAGUUAUUAAGCUUUGGACGAAGGACUUCCACAAGGCCGCCAUCUCCAAAGUUCACUCAAAAAGGCAAUCGUUUUUUUUGUGUGUAUAUUAUUAUUUUUUCACUUACAUUGGUUGAAAGCUAAUUUCUCAUCAGUAAAUCACUUAGUUCAUGAACAUUUGGAAGUUAAACAUCCUAAGGUUCAAAUCCCCAUAACCCAUAGUGUUCACAUUUCUCUCAUGUAAAUAU